This 76-nucleotide small nucleolar RNA is filed under the name Microtus ochrogaster (prairie vole). RNAcentral describes it as "Small nucleolar RNA SNORD83 (ENSMOCG00000004261.1)". It matches the Rfam family "Small nucleolar RNA SNORD83". Rfam says of the family: U83 (SNORD83) and U84 (SNORD84) are members of the C/D class of snoRNA which contain the C (UGAUGA) and D (CUGA) box motifs. They act as guanine methylation guides but lack complementarity to ribosomal RNA. The record is from RNAcentral. Lineage: Eukaryota; Metazoa; Chordata; Mammalia; Rodentia; Cricetidae.
GCCACAUGAUGUUCACAAUUGCAAGUGAGCGCUCCGCGCAGUGCUGACCUUUAUCUAUCACCCUUGACUGAUGGCU